UACGUAGGGUGCGAGCGUUGUCCGGAAUUACUGGGCGUAAAGAGCUCGUAGGUGGUUUGUCGCGUUGUUCGUGAAAACUCACAGCUUAACUGUGGGCGUGCGGGCGAUACGGGCAGACUGGAGUACUGCAGGGGAGACUGGAAUUCCUGGUGUAGCGGUGGAAUGCGCAGAUAUCAGGAGGAACACCGGUGGCGAAGGCGGGUCUCUGGGCAGUAACUGACGCUGAGGAGCGAAGGCGUGGGGAGCGAACAGG
This 253-nucleotide ribosomal RNA is filed under the name uncultured bacterium. RNAcentral describes it as "partial 16S ribosomal RNA". It matches the Rfam family "Bacterial small subunit ribosomal RNA", at positions 524 to 776 of the family's 1533-position model. The record is from RNAcentral.